UGAUGUGAAAAUUAAUUUAGUCAUAUCUUGUCCAAACUAAAAACAUUGAACCAUUUUAAAGGAAAGCAGCUUCCCAAUGUUGCCAUAUAUUGUUUUAAAAUAAUUGUAAAAAGUAGUUGCUCACGUAACAGCACUGGGCCUGCCAUUGACCUUGCACGAGAUGCCUCACACACAUCUGAGAGGCUGUUACUGUGGACGCAGUCCUCAGUGCUGCUGCUGCAUGGGACCCUGCUUCAGAGGAGCUCUGCAACAGCAAAAGUGCCAAGCAGAUCGAAGAGGACACAGCAGGACCAUGUGGGGCCCUCCUCCCAGUGGAAGCUUCCUGACACAGCCUGCACCCCAGUGGACUUCCCAAAGCAAGUUGAGUCUGACUUCGCACCCCUGACAUCAGAAUCAUCUGACUUCUGGGCACGCCACUGAAUACUGAUGUACCUGAAGGAACCCUGGGUACCAAACAUGCUCAAGUGAAUGAAUGGUGUCCAGGACAAAGCCCAGCAGGGUGUAUGAAGAAAGGGCUUCAGCAGAAACAGAGGCUGAAGCCUGCGUGCUGGGGGCCGAGAGGCCAGAGGAGAAUGUGAUGAGACAUAGAAUUGGUAGUGCAGGAAGUUGGAAGAUCAAGUACCGUGAUGUUGGUGCUGGCUGCUUGUGUUAAACUGCCUAGGUUUUAAUCUACGGUAAUUUUCGCCCACCUGUGGGGCUCCCCUGGUGCCCCAGCUGUGAUGGGGUAACUGAACUGCCACCAGGGCCAAGCUGUCAGUGGCCCAGGAUCUGGCGCUUGGAAGAGUUCUGAGAAGCACCCCUGGAUCAAAUGAGGAGAAACAGACUUCAUCCAUACCUAUUCCCAUUGU
Molecule: long non-coding RNA, 848 nt
Filed under: Homo sapiens (human)
Lineage: Eukaryota; Metazoa; Chordata; Mammalia; Primates; Hominidae
Description: non-protein coding lnc-KCNJ12-7:1
Source: RNAcentral